Molecule: long non-coding RNA, 761 nt
Organism: Myripristis murdjan (pinecone soldierfish)
Lineage: Eukaryota; Metazoa; Chordata; Actinopteri; Holocentriformes; Holocentridae
Exons: 4
Source: RefSeq, a predicted model, not a curated record
CAUCAACCAAGCUCAAGUCACUGAAACUUUACGUCCUCAUCAUGCCCUCUGAAACCACCCCGAAUUUGGGGAAGACUCAAAAACAUUGGCUGUUCACAAAAAGUAAAAACAUUUCUUGAUACAGAGAGAUUACCUGUAUGAAACCAAACACCUGGGAAGCUGACCUCUGGCUAUGAAGCGAUGGGGCCUGAUCUAUGUGAAUGUCUCACAAAAUGUCUCAGCCACAAAGCUGUGAUAAAGAUCAUCUGACAGUGACACUCCAGACCCUCAGGUUUCAGGUUAAACAAGAGAUGUCAUCAAAAUUAUUCUCAGUGAUGUAUUUCAGCAGAGCAAAAGACUUUAUGCAAGAUGAAAACUGUGGACAGUGACUCGUCUACAAGAGCUUAGUGGUGUUGGGAUUGAGUGGAAUUCACAUAAAAUAUCUGAACAAGGUGACUUGCUUUGGGAGCUGUUCAAAGCCACUUUUUCUACAAGACACCAAGUGAAAUGUACCAUGACUGGACAGCACAUGGGUUAUCGGACAUUUUCAUCACCCAACACGUAAGGAAACUUCUUCCUAAAAAGGACCAGGAGUGAGACACUGCUGAGAAUCCCAGGACGCACAUGGCCAAAGGGAGGAUGAUGAUGGACUCCCUUUGUCAGUCCAAUGUGAAACAGAACCAGAGGGCCUGAAUGCUAAGGUGUUUUAUGGCCGUCUCACUUUUCCCAUACGCCCUGACAUAGAGGGCCAGAGGAGGGAAGAGGAAGAAUUGCCUCUGCCU